RNAcentral lists this ribosomal RNA (466 nucleotides) under uncultured eukaryote. RNAcentral's name for it is "SSU rRNA". It matches the Rfam family "Eukaryotic small subunit ribosomal RNA", at positions 84 to 549 of the family's 1831-position model. The record is from RNAcentral.
GAACUGCGAAAGGCUCAUUAAAUCACACCUAAUGUACUGGAUAGUUACAGUUACUUGGAUAACUGCGGUAAUUCUGGAGCUAAUACAUGCAAAACAGCCCCAACUCACGGAGGGGUGCUUUUAUUAGACUAAAACCAAACGGCUUCGGUCGUCCCAUUGGUGAAUCUGAAUAACUUUGAGCGGAUCGCAUGGCUUCACGCCGGCGACGUAUCCUUCCAAGGUGUGACCUAUCAACUGUCGACUGUGGCAUAGACGCCCACAGUGGUUUUGACGGGUAACGGGGAAUUAGGGUUCGAUUCCGGAGAGGGAGCCUGAGAAACGGCUACCACUUCUAAGGAAGGCAGCAGGCACGCAAAUUACCCACUGGCCAAAGGCCGAGGUAGUGACGAAAAAUAACGAUACCAGACUCAUCCGAGGCCUGGUAAUCGGAAUGAGCACACUUUAAAUCCUUUAACGAGGAACCAUU